GCUUGUAGAAUGAAUGCCUCACCUUCUCCCUCAAUAAAAAAUUUUUGAGGAACUAUGCCGACCUGCUAGCCCGCAUCCGGAAAUAUCCCUAGGUAGAGGAUGCUCGAGAGCUCUAUAGGUAGGUGGAACGGCAGAAGAUCUCUAGCAAGAAGAGGAGUCGAGAAGAUCCUCGAGUGACUCAGAUCGAGAGAAAAUAUUUCUGACC
RNAcentral lists this long non-coding RNA (205 nucleotides) under Elaeis guineensis (African oil palm). Its description in RNAcentral is "long non-coding RNA (EGUI_LNC009300)". Lineage: Eukaryota; Viridiplantae; Streptophyta; Magnoliopsida; Arecales; Arecaceae. The record is from RNAcentral.